Molecule: transfer RNA, 71 nt
Filed under: Spirochaetes bacterium GWF1_51_8
Lineage: Bacteria; Pseudomonadati; Spirochaetota
Description: tRNA-Gln
Rfam family: tRNA
About the family: Transfer RNA (tRNA) molecules are approximately 80 nucleotides in length. Their secondary structure includes four short double-helical elements and three loops (D, anti-codon, and T loops). Further hydrogen bonds mediate the characteristic L-shaped molecular structure. tRNAs have two regions of fundamental functional importance: the anti-codon, which is responsible for specific mRNA codon recognition, and the 3' end, to which the tRNAs corresponding amino acid is attached (by aminoacyl-tRNA synthetases). tRNAs cope with the degeneracy of the genetic code in two manners: having more than one tRNA (with a specific anti-codon) for a particular amino acid; and 'wobble' base-pairing, i.e. permitting non-standard base-pairing at the 3rd anti-codon position.
Source: RNAcentral
UGGGGUGUCGUCUAACGGCAGGACAAGAGACUCUGGAUCUCUUGGUGAGGGUUCGAUUCCUUCCACCCCAG